RNAcentral lists this ribosomal RNA (804 nucleotides) under Escherichia coli. RNAcentral's name for it is "partial 23S ribosomal RNA". It matches the Rfam family "Bacterial large subunit ribosomal RNA", at positions 432 to 1238 of the family's 2925-position model. Lineage: Bacteria; Pseudomonadati; Pseudomonadota; Gammaproteobacteria; Enterobacterales; Enterobacteriaceae. The record is from RNAcentral. RNAcentral also lists the same sequence under 1 other name.
UCCUGUCUGAAUAUGGGGGGACCAUCCUCCAAGGCUAAAUACUCCUGACUGACCGAUAGUGAACCAGUACCGUGAGGGAAAGGCGAAAAGAACCCCGGCGAGGGGAGUGAAAAAGAACCUGAAACCGUGUACGUACAAGCAGUGGGAGCCUCUUAAUGGGGUGACUGCGUACCUUUUGUAUAAUGGGUCAGCGACUUAUAUUCUGUAGCAAGGUUAACCGAAUAGGGGAGCCGAAGGGAAACCGAGUCUUAACUGGGCGUUAAGUUGCAGGGUAUAGACCCGAAACCCGGUGAUCUAGCCAUGGGCAGGUUGAAGGUUGGGUAACACUAACUGGAGGACCGAACCGACUAAUGUUGAAAAAUUAGCGGAUGACUUGUGGCUGGGGGUGAAAGGCCAAUCAAACCGGGAGAUAGCUGGUUCUCCCCGAAAGCUAUUUAGGUAGCGCCUCGUGAAUUCAUCUCCGGGGGUAGAGCACUGUUUCGGCAAGGGGGUCAUCCCGACUUACCAACCCGAUGCAAACUGCGAAUACCGGAGAAUGUUAUCACGGGAGACACACGGCGGGUGCUAACGUCCGUCGUGAAGAGGGAAACAACCCAGACCGCCAGCUAAGGUCCCAAAGUCAUGGUUAAGUGGGAAACGAUGUGGGAAGGCCCAGACAGCCAGGAUGUUGGCUUAGAAGCAGCCAUCAUUUAAAGAAAGCGUAAUAGCUCACUGGUCGAGUCGGCCUGCGCGGAAGAUGUAACGGGGCUAAACCAUGCACCGAAGCUGCGGCAGCGACACUAUGUGUUGUUGGGUAGGGGAGCG